GCGCAGCAGUCUGCCGCUGAUACUCAAACUGUGUUACAGUCUCACGGAGUGUCUGUGUGUGUUACUGCCUUUGACGAUACAGUAGCUACACAUAUCUGAGAUAAUUUACGUCUCCUAGUUUUACAUCAAACAUCAUUCACGAGUGCGAAGAUUUUGUUUCCCGGAUAAUGGGAUAUUUGGAUGGAUAUUUUAUCAGGAGACGUUUGUUAACAGGACACGUGGGGAAACGCUAAUUAACUUGACUCCUGGAGAUAAAGUGGAUUUAUUUCUGGAUUCGUGUGGAAAUAGAUUCGUUUAGGAUUCGGUGUGUAUAAUGCUUUCUGAAUAUAAUCUGGGUUAAAUGGUCGAUCUUUGGGAUACUGCUCACCGAAGACACAGAUUUAUGGAACUUAACCUGUGGAAUAAACUCACUUUAAAAGGAUAAAAGAUUGCCAGGAACACGAGAAUUAUCAUGACAGCGGAUCCACCCUGAUUUUGCCUCGUUCUUCCUGAAGAGAGGAAAGAGCCUGAUGUGCAGUCAUCUGAGCUCACUGCCAAAUGUCUUCACCAGAUCUCUGUCCGGACCCUCAAUGAUGCUCUGUUUCAGUGCAAUGACAAACUGAUUGGAUAUAAUCUUGAGCGGUGGACUCAAGAGAUGGUGAGCGAUCGGUAAACUCUACGGUACGCAUUGUAGGGAAGGAUCAUCUUUCUCCUCAAGUAGGCAAUGAAUUGAGUUGGAUAGUCUCUCUCCUUCUGUUACGACAUGGGACUAAAUCCAAACCAUGUGUCCUUACACCUGGUUCGCUGCUUUUUCCCACCUCCCACAUGAGCAGUCUGGACAGAUCCAUUUCACGGCCCCCUCUGCCAUGUAGCGUUCUCACUUUCGAAGCCCUACGUGAGCCUCUCAGUGGGACUCUGGCUUAAUUGGCUGGAACUUUCCCAUAUCCGGUCUCCAAAGGUGGCCCCCGUGUGAGGAGUGUGUGUUAUUGGGAAGUGUCUGAGGAGAGAGGAUGAAAACAGGAACACUGUUCAAUCCUGCAUAUCAAGAGAAGAACUGGUCACCCUGCACAACACACACACAAUUUCUCUUUUUGGAUUAAAAAUGUGACCCUUUUCUGCACAGCAUGGAUAUCUUUUUCCAUUUUAAACCUACUUUUGUUCAGAGAUGUUUGAAGACAUUGAUUUCGUAAGCACCCGGUUGAAUUGUCACUGUUGUCAUCAUGGCACUGAUGAUAACAUUUCAUCACAUUUUUAUAUCUGCCUUUUUUGGUGGCAUUUCAUGACAGAUGCAUGAUUAUAUUGGACUAUAAAAAAAUUUCAUUCUGUUUGUUUUUCUUUUAAACCAGUUUUUGGAUAGACCCUUUUCACAUUUCCGGGUUUUGAAUGCAGAAGUAAAGUAUAGGAGUGUAAACAGCACAGCUUGUGUACAGAGGUCGGUGAAAGACCUUUGCAAUUAUUACUUUUUAUGUUCCCAUUUGCUCCCAACAGGAAAAUAAAAAUCCACUUCUACAUUUCUACAACUUUCCACAAGAGGAAAAAAUGGAUUGCAACAUUCAGAUAAGAGAAACAUGCCAAAUUUCCAGUCACUCCCUCAGCAUCUGUAUUUGGUAAAAUAAUAUAAAGUACAGUGAUAUAAAUACACAUUGAAUAAGAAAAAAACCUUUGUUAGGUGUACCCUUCAAAAUUAAAGCAGAGAUACAUGCACUGGAUCCUGCAAUGAAUACAAAGAACUUAACUGGAACGACAAAACGUGGGCUUGGCAAGUUUACCCACUAUUCUCUCUUCCUGAAAGUAGGCAUUAUCAUUCUCUGUUGGGAUGCCCUUAUACAGCUUCAAUUGAACAAAACUGUAAAAAGAUAUUAAAUGGUAAUAAUAAACACUAAUAUUUCUACUUAACCCUGACAUAUGUAAUAAUUGCACUGUUGGAAUGUCCCCUGAUGGCAGGCCUUGAAUCUAUCAGCAUCUGUACACAAAAACAAAAGCUCAGAACUGACUCUCACUGUAUAAACAGACUAAUUACUUCUGUUAGGCUUAUCUGACAUUGGCUUACUAUAAUCAAUAUGUGUGUGUGGUAGACAUCCUGUUUAAACACCAGGAGGUUUAUCGAGCUGUGGUUUGGGCUCUUCCUGCAUAGCUGCAGUGAAUGCUUAGUAAUGCUGAGGCUGACAUUCACGUUAUCUGAAUUUUCUUUGCUUUCCUCAAAAAUGUUUCAUUACAGAUUGGAAAUUCUGUGGAAUCACAGCUGUAAUUUCCUCGUUUGUGUGUAUUUCAGCCAACUAACAACUUUACAGAAUAAUAGAAGUAUUUCCUUAUAUUGUUUUCCUGCGUGUGUGCUCUAGCUAGCUAAUGUUUGGGGAGAAAUGUGUUCCCAAAGGUGAGUUAAAUCUAAAAAAAAGCUGCCUUCGGGGAUGUUUUGUCACUAAACAUCUGUUUUAGAACCAUUAUGAUUUUCUUGCAUUGUGACAUUUUUCAUGACAAUCCCAAAAAAAAGUUCUAAGUUUACUUGACGGUUGUAUAUCAUGAACUGAUUUAAAUGAUGAAUUUUUGUAAAAAAAAAAUUAAAACAUUUUGUG
Long non-coding RNA from Xyrauchen texanus (razorback sucker), 2552 nucleotides. RefSeq lists it as uncharacterized. The transcript is spliced from 3 exons. NCBI's taxonomy places the organism in Eukaryota, Metazoa, Chordata, Actinopteri, Cypriniformes, Catostomidae. The record is from RefSeq and is a predicted model, not a curated record.